ACGAGGCGUCCGGCACUGCCUGAGCUCCUGACGUGUCUCAGGGACAGACUCAAGUCACACGACACUUCGGUGAGAGUUUUACCGACGAAGAACCGGGCACUCGGUGUCCCAGCCCUCGGGAAUCUCGGGGUUCGGGGGUGGGGUGGGCGGACACACCUGUGCCCGCGCUUCCAGCUGAGUUACCCUCGGGGGCGCGACUGUGAAAUCGGAGAACCGGAUGCGGGUGCGGAGGAGGGCAAGACGGCUCGACACCUGCUUUCUUCUCUUCCUUCCGGACUCAGAAUUCUUAGGGAAAAUGUAUUGUAAGUUGAUCGAAAAGAUGCUACGGGGCGCCUGGCUGGCUCAGUCAGUAGAGCAUGCGACCCUUGAUCUCAGGGUUUUGAGUUUGAGCCCCAUGUUGGGUGUAGAGAUAACUUAAAAGUAAAAUCUUAAAAAAAAAAAAGAUGCCACAAUAACUUCACUUCUCGAAUCCAUAUGCCUUGCAGCGUGACUUUGCCACUCGUCCCAUCAAAGGUGAGUGUGUCCUCACCCAUGGCACAGAAACACCCAUGGAGUUUAAAAAUUUCGUCUGAGAGCCUCUGUUAUUGAAAAGGAGAUCAAGUCUUUCAUGUUUGUGUAAUUAUUGCCAUGUUUGUUUGUACAUACUCCUGACAUCUUA
Ursus maritimus (polar bear) is the source of this 658-nucleotide long non-coding RNA. NCBI's taxonomy places the organism in Eukaryota, Metazoa, Chordata, Mammalia, Carnivora, Ursidae. The record is from Ensembl.